RNAcentral lists this ribosomal RNA (774 nucleotides) under uncultured Neocallimastigales. RNAcentral's name for it is "partial large subunit ribosomal RNA". It matches the Rfam family "Eukaryotic large subunit ribosomal RNA", at positions 20 to 616 of the family's 3401-position model. The record is from RNAcentral. Lineage: Eukaryota; Fungi; Neocallimastigomycota; Neocallimastigomycetes; Neocallimastigales.
UACUAGAGUAGCACUCGCAUAUCAAUAAGCGGAGGAAAAGAAACUAACAAGGAUUCCCCUAGUAACGGCGAGUGAAGCGGGAAGAGCUCAAAUUUGAAAUCUUAAAGGGUUUCCCUUUACGAAUUGUAGUUUAAAGAAGUGUUUUCUGUUGAGGUUUUGGUAAAAGUUCUUUGGAAUAGGACAUCAUAGAGGGUGAGAAUCCCGUAUUUGACCUUUACUUUCAACUUUGUGAUACACUUUCAAAGAGUCGGAUUGUUUGGGAAUGCAGUCCAAAAUGGGUGGUAAAUUUCAUCUAAAGCUAAAUAUUGGCGAGAGACCGAUAGCGAACAAGUACCGUGAGGGAAAGAUGAAAAGAACUUUGAAAAGAGAGUUAAACAGUACGUGAAAUUGUCAAAAGGGAAGCGUUUGACACCAGUGUUGUUUUUCUGAAAAUCAAUUAAAGAACUGUUUAUGCUAAGUUGUUUAGACUUUAUCAGCUAUCUGCUUAGUUUUGAGCUUUUCUUUAAUGCACUUUUCAGUUAACAAGUCAACAUCAAUUUCUUUUGCUGUAAAAAAGCUCGAGGAAGGUGGCUUGAGAUUCGUCUUAAGUGUUUAUAGCCUCUUGCCUAUGCAGUCGGAGAGAUUGAGGUCUGCAGCGUAGAUCCUUCGGGGCUAAAUGCAUUUGUGCUAAGUUAUAGCAUUUUAUAGACAACUUGUUGACUAUGAUUUGUCUUGUAGCUUACUCGCUUAUGUUAUUUUACCUACGCUUAGGAUGUUGAACUCUAUCACACACAU